ACGACUACAUUAGAUACCCGCGUAGUCCUGGCCGUAAACGAUGUGGACUUGGUGUUGGGGGUCCUUUGAGGGCGCCCAGUGCCGGAGAGAAGUUGUUAAGCCUGCUGCUUGGGGAGUACGUCCGCAAGGAUGAAACUUAAAGGAAUUGGCGGGGAGCACCGCAACGGGAGGAGCGUGCGGUUCAAUUGGAUUCAACGCCGGACAACUCACCAGGAGCGACGGUUACAUGAAGGCCAGGCUGAUGACCUUGCCUGAUUUUCCG
This 262-nucleotide ribosomal RNA is filed under the name uncultured archaeon. RNAcentral describes it as "partial 16S ribosomal RNA". It matches the Rfam family "Archaeal small subunit ribosomal RNA", at positions 719 to 982 of the family's 1478-position model. The record is from RNAcentral.